UACGAAGGGGGCUAGCGUUGUUCGGAAUUACUGGGCGUAAAGCGCGCGUAGGCGGUGAUCUUUGUCAGAGGUGAAAUCCCGAGGCUCAACUUCGGAAUUGCCUUUGAGACGGGAUCGCUUGAGUCCGAGAGAGGAUGGCGGAAUUCCUAGUGUAGAGGUGAAAUUCGUAGAUAUUAGGAAGAACACCGGUGGCGAAGGCGGCCAUCUGGCUCGGUACUGACGCUCAGGCGCGAAAGCGUGGGGAGCAAACAGG
Molecule: ribosomal RNA, 253 nt
Filed under: uncultured bacterium
Lineage: Bacteria
Description: partial 16S ribosomal RNA
Rfam family: Bacterial small subunit ribosomal RNA
Source: RNAcentral